AGGUUAGAAAUGUUACCACAAAGGAAAACAGUGGAGAUCAAUGUAUAACAGAGAGGGGAGAACAGCUAUAACAUUCGAGCAGCAUUGUAUCCAGCAAAGAAGCCAUCUUCUGUGAAUGUGUAUGGACCUAAUGGAACAUAGAGUCCUAGAUCAAAUGCAGUCAAUUACACUUGGAGUACAAAUUGCCUAUUUGUUGCAUUACCUGCAACUGUCCUGCUCAAUAUUAGUGGAUCCUCACACAAGUCAUCUAGAUAUCACUCUACCAUCCUUUUGCUGUAAAGUUUGUGAGAGCAAUAGGGAAAAGAUGAUUAAGGAUGUUAUUUCGCACAACAGACUUUUCGCACAAGUCUUUUAGCACAAAUUUCGGACCGUUCGCACAAUUCUUAGUGGUCAUUUCGCACAAUAAAUAUAAGUGAAAAACAUCAAUAUAAAAGGUAUACUGAUUGAUACUGAUAAGACAUUUCACCUUCACAAGAUCCAACGGCGAAAACUUAGACAUUUAUUUACGUAAUAACUUCAGCUAGAUCGAAAUGCUCGUGAACACGAUCACUAUUCUUACUUGAAGAAAGGAAAGGCAGAAAUCUCUCUUUCUAUGAAAAUGUAAAGAACUCCAUUUUCGAACGACUAAUUCUAUAACUUUUCCUUUGUUGAACGAAAAAGCUUUUAGUUUUGACAGUAUCAUCGACUACGAACAUGCAAACAUGACGACCCACGCUAAGGACACCAUGUUGAUUUCGAAAGUAAUGGUCACUAGUCUUCCCUCCUUGUGCGAUCGCAUUCAAACAGCAUGUUUUAUCGAUCUGUAAGAGUUUCAAAUAAAGCUAUUGAAAACUUGCUUCUUAUAUCUUCGUUAUAUAAUGAAAAUUAGGCAUACUGGUAAUACGUACAGCAAAAACAGUUCAACGUUAAUAACUCGAUAUUCAGAGAGUGCUUCAUAUCGAAUGUCGGCACGUGCAAGUGUUGUGAUUUGACAACUUGAACGUGUCAGUGUAGGUAGAAACUAGUGAUCUUGUAGAAAGACAAGUUCGAUCUGUAAUCUUUUUAAAGAUCGUAAAGUUUAAUACA
Molecule: long non-coding RNA, 1065 nt
Organism: Pocillopora damicornis (cauliflower coral)
Lineage: Eukaryota; Metazoa; Cnidaria; Anthozoa; Scleractinia; Pocilloporidae
Source: RefSeq, a predicted model, not a curated record